AAAGUGCUGGGAUUACAGGCUUGAGCCACUACGCUGGGCUGCUAAAGGAUUGUAAAUGCACCAAUCAGCGCUCUGUGUCUAGCUAAUUGGGUAAAGAGACUUGGAGAACUUUUCUGUCUAGCUAAAGGAUUGUAAAUGCACUAAUCAGCACUCUGUGUCUAGCUAAAGGUUUGUAAACCCACCAAUCAGCACUCUGUAAAAAUGGACCAAUCAGCACUCUGUAAAGUGGACCAAUCAGCUCUCUGUAAAAUGGACUAAAAAGCAGGAUGUGGAUGGGGCCAAAUAAGGGAAUAAAAGCAGGCCACCCGAGCCAGCAGCAGCAACCCGCUUUGGUCUCCUUCCACGCUGUGGCAGCUUUGUUCUUUCGCUCUUCACAAUAAAUCUUCCUGCUGUUCACUCUUUGGGUCACCACUACCUUUAUGAGCUGUAACACUCAUCAUGAGGGUCUGUGGCUUCAUUCCUGAAGCCAGCGAGACCACGAGCCCACCAGGAGGAACAAACAACUCCGGAGGCGCCACCUUUUAAGAGCUGUAACACUCACUGCGAAGGUCUGUGGCUUCACUCCUGAAGUCAGCAAGACCACGAACCCACCAGAAAGAAGAAACUCUGGACACAUCAGAACAUCUGAAGGAAAAAACUCUGGACACACCAUCUUUGAGACCUGUAACACUCACCGCGAGGGCCCGCGGCUUCAUUCUUGAAGUCAGAGAGACCAAGAACCCACCAGAAGGAACACACUGGGAUUACAGCCCCCACGGCCUGGUGUUGGGACUAGGUAUUACAUUCGAAUACCCUGGAAUAUAAGGGGAAGUUGCAUGCUGCCUCCUGGGGUUUAUCCCAGGUAGCUCUAGCUUUCUUGCUGCCCACAGAGGCCUGGAGCAGGAGAGUUGCUAAGAUGCCACGGAGUGCCCAUUUGGUCACUGGCAGUCUGGGCAGGUUGCCCCUUUCUGGGUUUGUGGUGACGGAGAGGAGGCCAAAAGGCACAGACCGAGUCCCCGGGUGGCUGCAGGCAGCUCCAGCCCAGUCCUGAGGAUCCUCCUCACCAUGGUCACCUGCCUUAGUAACUCUGCCCAGGAAGUGGCCUGCUGCUUGCUGUGCUGCUGCUUUUCCUACUUCUGCCCUUCCCUGCCAUCCCUCACAAGUCUCAGUUGACAAGCAAUUCCUCGUCUUCCCUGGCCCCCUAGGGAAAGGGCUAAGAAACAGUCCGUGUACACCGCAACCUUACUAGCCUAAGGUGGGCGAAGGAGUGUGGAGCUGCCUAGAGUACAGAGCCCUUGGGGAGGAGCCCGCUAAUAAGGGAUGCUCUCCCAUAGCCACAUUUAAAUGCUAACUAGACUGAGGUGGACGAGCUCUGCCAGCUGCUGUCAUCUUCAGAAGAUACAUGCAGCAGUACGGAAUGUUUGUUUCGCUUUUUUGUAAAAUGUUUAAAAGCACUGUGGCUAAGAAAAUUCAGGCCGGGCGCGGUGGCUCAUGCCUGUAAUCCCAGCACUUUGGGAGGCCGAGGCAGGCGGAUCACGAGGUCAGGAGAUCGACACCAUCCUGGCUAACAUGGUGAAACCCCGUCUCUACUAAAAAUACAAAAAAUUAGCCGGGCAUUGGGGCAGGCGCCUGUAGCCCCAGCUACUCGGGA
Molecule: long non-coding RNA, 1630 nt
Filed under: Macaca mulatta (Rhesus monkey)
Lineage: Eukaryota; Metazoa; Chordata; Mammalia; Primates; Cercopithecidae
Description: lncRNA (ENSMMUG00000058209.1)
Source: RNAcentral